UCAAUUCCACCCAGUUGUGCUUCAGGAUGGAACCAUCCAAAACAGAAGAAAUCCAGCUUCUUUCUGCCUGACAGCAAGACUUGGAGAGAUACAGACUUCAGGCUGGAGAGGCUUAAACUUUGUAGCAGUUUAUUGGAUGAGUAUCAGUCAGUACACCCUGACAGAGGAUUGGAAAGUGCAAAUGCUGAAGAUACAAUACUGAGGAAAAAAAUCUAAAUCCCAAGUCUCUCUUUGUAUAUAGAAGUAUUGAAGAAAUAAUUUCUCCUGUGGCAGAAAAAGACUUGAAGAAUAGGAUGUAGUCUGAGAUCAGAUCAAGUCCUGGAAAACUGCUGCUGUCAUGUAGGAUCUGCACUGGAAGAGAAAGAGAUUUGCAGUCAGCAUACGUGCAAUCAAUAUAAGGUGAAAUUAUUCAGGUUUCUCCAGAUCUUUAUAAGGAUAGAUUGUUUUCUGCAAGCUGUGCCUCAAGUGUAAAACUCCAGAUUUCGUGAACCUGUGCUGCAAUGACAAUGGAUGUUCCUUAAAGCUUUUGUGAGGACAUUUCUGCUGUGCCUGCGUUGGCAGGUGACAUGUGCAUUAUUUUUCAAAGGCUGCUUCAGGUGAUGGAUUCUGCCAUUCCCUCUGGAAGUCUCAUUCCUCAGGGUGUGAUGAUGUUUUACCAGUGAAUGGUCCAGUGUCAAGUCAGACUGAAAUCCAACCCCUCCAAUCAAGGAACCUCCUCUGCUCCACUGGACCAGAAUUGGACAUGCAGCCUGAAGAACUGCUUCAAAAGAAUGUACAUAAUUUCAGCCUUCCUCCAGUCAUUCAAGACAAGCUAUUCAUAAUUUUUGGAUUGGGUGAUCACCCAUUUGGCCUAUUUAUUGUUCUCUGAGAUGUAUUAAGGUGGCAUUUGCCUAAGCCAGGUGAGAGAAGAGAAAGGAAAGGUAUAUGGUUUAUCAAAAUCAGAUCCUUUUCUUGAAGGGGUUGAGUGACUGUUAGAACAGAAGCACAGCUUAAAUACCUGGAUUUUUGUUUAUGUGUGUUGCAGCCUGACCCAAAGAGCCAGUCUACAGUUAAAGAAUAGGAGAGGAUGCAUUCAGUGCCUGUUGUUCCUACAACUAUUGGGGAUGAAUAGCAGUAUUUGCAGGUGUGGAGCUGCUCGUGUCCAGGGUAAGGGUUGUGAUGGUGUUGGGACAGGCUCUCCUUUAUUUUUUUAUUCUGUUAACACUGUGUGCAGAAGUUUGAAGUGAUAGCUGUGGCUACCAUGGUUUGGACUAAAUUCACGUGCCAGUUACAAGAAUUUUACAAUCCUUGUGUAGCAUGUACUGGGAUACCAGUGGCUGCUAGAGCUGGGAGUUGUCUCUGCAGGAAUUUGGUUUUACUUUCCCUUGCUAUAGGGCUGGCAGUACCCAGGGCCAAGAGCCCAUUGUGCUGCUGAUUUUGAAGCCAGCUGCUUCCUCAGAAACUACUCUCCCUCCCAAAAUGUUAUUUCCAGGCAUGCUCAGCCUAACACAAGGGUGUAUCAGUCACACACCACAGAGCACGGAGCAUAUGUGUACGAGGGACACAUCUGUACAGCACUUUUCUAAGAGGUAAUAUUUAGAACCUUGUUGUUCCAGUGUGCAUGUUUCCUUGUGAUUUAUGGUGCUUGUAAAUAAAGGGAAUGUGUUACAUUUUUGGCAAUUUGCCUUUAUGCAGAAGAAUUAAAGACUUGAACUUUAAAAAUCCU
Lonchura striata (white-rumped munia) is the source of this 1705-nucleotide non-coding RNA. The record is from RefSeq and is a predicted model, not a curated record. NCBI's taxonomy places the organism in Eukaryota, Metazoa, Chordata, Aves, Passeriformes, Estrildidae.